GCCUGGCUUUGCCGUUUCCUUUGGCAGCUCCCAAGACCUGAGGGUAGGAGUCCUGGGCAGCUGGGACCUGCCAGGCCAUUCUGUAUCUCCCAUGGGGCUCACAACCCGGGGACCCCGUUCCUAUCUGAGAGGACCCCUUCUUCCUGAAGCUGGAGCCCGAUACUUGUUGGUGCCAACAACUGAAACCAGAUGUGCAGACACACGUUUUCACGUGGGGCACGUGUGUCCGUUUAGAGGCCAGAAGUCAACUUCAGUAUUGUUCACUCAGCAAAUAUUGAACAAUAUUCUUUGGCACCGAGGACUCAGUCUAGCAAGGAAAUGAGCUGUCAAACAAACAUGACGCACCACAAGCCCAGGGCAUGUGGGAAU
RNAcentral lists this long non-coding RNA (369 nucleotides) under Mus spretus (western wild mouse). Its description in RNAcentral is "lncRNA (ENSMSPG00010040439.1)". Lineage: Eukaryota; Metazoa; Chordata; Mammalia; Rodentia; Muridae. The record is from RNAcentral.